UUAAGCGACUAAGCGUACACGGUGGAUGCCCUGGCAGUCAGAGGCGAUGAAGGACGUGCUAAUCUGCGAUAAGCGUCGGUAAGGUGAUAUGAACCGUUAUAACCGGCGAUUUCCGAAUGGGGAAACCCAGUGUGAUUCGUCACACUAUCAUUAACUGAAUCCAUAGGUUAAUGAGGCGAACCGGGGGAACUGAAACAUCUAAGUACCCCGAGGAAAAGAAAUCAACCGAGAUUCCCCCAGUAGCGGCGAGCGAACGGGGAGGAGCCCAGAGCCUGAAUCAGUGUGUGUGUUAGUGGAAGCGUCUGGAAAGGCGCGCGAUACAGGGUGACAGCCCCGUACACAAAAAUGCACAUGCUGUGAGCUCGAUGAGUAGGGCGGGACACGUGGUAUCCUGUCUGAAUAUGGGGGGACCAUCCUCCAAGGCUAAAUACUCCUGACUGACCGAUAGUGAACCAGUACCGUGAGGGAAAGGCGAAAAGAACCCCGGCGAGGGGAGUGAAAAAGAACCUGAAACCGUGUACGUACAAGCAGUGGGAGCACAGAGCAAUCUGUGUGACUGCGUACCUUUUGUAUAAUGGGUCAGCGACUUAUAUUCUGUAGCAAGGUUAACCGAAUAGGGGAGCCGAAGGGAAACCGAGUCUUAACUGGGCGUUAAGUUGCAGGGUAUAGACCCGAAACCCGGUGAUCUAGCCAUGGGCAGGUUGAAGGUUGGGUAACACUAACUGGAGGACCGAACCGACUAAUGUUGAAAAAUUAGCGGAUGACUUGUGGCUGGGGGUGAAAGGCCAAUCAAACCGGGAGAUAGCUGGUUCUCCCCGAAAGCUAUUUAGGUAGCGCCUCGUGAAUUCAUCUCCGGGGGUAGAGCACUGUUUCGGCAAGGGGGUCAUCCCGACUUACCAACCCGAUGCAAACUGCGAAUACCGGAGAAUGUUAUCACGGGAGACACACGGCGGGUGCUAACGUCCGUCGUGAAGAGGGAAACAACCCAGACCGCCAGCUAAGGUCCCAAAGUCAUGGUUAAGUGGGAAACGAUGUGGGAAGGCCCAGACAGCCAGGAUGUUGGCUUAGAAGCAGCCAUCAUUUAAAGAAAGCGUAAUAGCUCACUGGUCGAGUCGGCCUGCGCGGAAGAUGUAACGGGGCUAAACCAUGCACCGAAGCUGCGGCAGCGACGCUGAUGCGUUGUUGGGUAGGGGAGCGUUCUGUAAGCCUGUGAAGGUGUGCUGUGAGGCAUGCUGGAGGUAUCAGAAGUGCGAAUGCUGACAUAAGUAACGAUAAAGCGGGUGAAAAGCCCGCUCGCCGGAAGACCAAGGGUUCCUGUCCAACGUUAAUCGGGGCAGGGUGAGUCGACCCCUAAGGCGAGGCCGAAAGGCGUAGUCGAUGGGAAACAGGUUAAUAUUCCUGUACUUGGUGUUACUGCGAAGGGGGGACGGAGAAGGCUAUGUUGGCCGGGCGACGGUUGUCCCGGUUUAAGCGUGUAGGCUGGUUUUCCAGGCAAAUCCGGAAAAUCAAGGCUGAGGCGUGAUGACGAGGCACUACGGUGCUGAAGCAACAAAUGCCCUGCUUCCAGGAAAAGCCUCUAAGCAUCAGGUAACAUCAAAUCGUACCCCAAACCGACACAGGUGGUCAGGUAGAGAAUACCAAGGCGCUUGAGAGAACUCGGGUGAAGGAACUAGGCAAAAUGGUGCCGUAACUUCGGGAGAAGGCACGCUGAUAUGUAGGUGAAGUCCCUCGCGGAUGGAGCUGAAAUCAGUCGAAGAUACCAGCUGGCUGCAACUGUUUAUUAAAAACACAGCACUGUGCAAACACGAAAGUGGACGUAUACGGUGUGACGCCUGCCCGGUGCCGGAAGGUUAAUUGAUGGGGUCAGCGCAAGCGAAGCUCUUGAUCGAAGCCCCGGUAAACGGCGGCCGUAACUAUAACGGUCCUAAGGUAGCGAAAUUCCUUGUCGGGUAAGUUCCGACCUGCACGAAUGGCGUAAUGAUGGCCAGGCUGUCUCCACCCGAGACUCAGUGAAAUUGAACUCGCUGUGAAGAUGCAGUGUACCCGCGGCAAGACGGAAAGACCCCGUGAACCUUUACUAUAGCUUGACACUGAACAUUGAGCCUUGAUGUGUAGGAUAGGUGGGAGGCUUUGAGGUGUGGACGCCAGUCUGCAUGGAGCCGACCUUGAAAUACCACCCUUUAAUGUUUGAUGUUCUAACGUUGACCCGUAAUCCGGGUUGCGGACAGUGUCUGGUGGGUAGUUUGACUGGGGCGGUCUCCUCCUAAAGAGUAACGGAGGAGCACGAAGGUUGGCUAAUCCUGGUCGGACAUCAGGAGGUUAGUGCAAUGGCAUAAGCCAGCUUGACUGCGAGCGUGACGGCGCGAGCAGGUGCGAAAGCAGGUCAUAGUGAUCCGGUGGUUCUGAAUGGAAGGGCCAUCGCUCAACGGAUAAAAGGUACUCCGGGGAUAACAGGCUGAUACCGCCCAAGAGUUCAUAUCGACGGCGGUGUUUGGCACCUCGAUGUCGGCUCAUCACAUCCUGGGGCUGAAGUAGGUCCCAAGGGUAUGGCUGUUCGCCAUUUAAAGUGGUACGCGAGCUGGGUUUAGAACGUCGUGAGACAGUUCGGUCCCUAUCUGCCGUGGGCGCUGGAGAACUGAGGGGGGCUGCUCCUAGUACGAGAGGACCGGAGUGGACGCAUCACUGGUGUUCGGGUUGUCAUGCCAAUGGCACUGCCCGGUAGCUAAAUGCGGAAGAGAUAAGUGCUGAAAGCAUCUAAGCACGAAACUUGCCCCGAGAUGAGUUCUCCCUGACUCCUUGAGAGUCCUGAAGGAACGUUGAAGACGACGACGUUGAUAGGCCGGGUGUGUAAGCGCAGCGAUGCGUUGAGCUAACCGGUACUAAUGAACCGUGAGGCUUAACCUU
This 2904-nucleotide ribosomal RNA is filed under the name Escherichia coli. RNAcentral describes it as "bacterial LSU rRNA". It matches the Rfam family "Bacterial large subunit ribosomal RNA". Lineage: Bacteria; Pseudomonadati; Pseudomonadota; Gammaproteobacteria; Enterobacterales; Enterobacteriaceae. The record is from RNAcentral.